GAUGAACGCUGGCGGCGUGCCUAAUACAUGCAAGUCGAGCGAACGGACGAGAAGCUUGCUUCUCUGAUGUUAGCGGCGGACGGGUGAGUAACACGUGGAUAACCUACCUAUAAGACUGGGUUAACUUCGGGAAACCGGAGCUAAUACCGGAUAAUAUUAUGAACCGCAUGGUUCAAAAGUGAAAGACGGUCUUGCUGUCACUUAUAGAUGGAUCCGCGCUGCAUUAGCUAGUUGGUAAGGUAACGGCUUACCAAGGCAACGAUGCAUAGCCGACCUGAGAGGGUGAUCGGCCACACUGGAACUGAGACACGGUCCAGACUCCUACGGGAGGCAGCAGUAGGGAAUCUUCCGCAAUGGGCGAAAGCCUGACGGAGCAACGCCGCGUGAGUGAUGAAGGUCUUCGGAUCGUAAAACUCUGUUAUUAGGGAAGAACAUAUGUGUAAGUAACUGUGCACAUCUUGACGGUACCUAAUCAGAAAGCCACGGCUAACUACGUG
Molecule: ribosomal RNA, 497 nt
Filed under: uncultured bacterium
Lineage: Bacteria
Description: partial 16S ribosomal RNA
Rfam family: Bacterial small subunit ribosomal RNA
Source: RNAcentral